UCGGAUUCAUGUCAACAGCCCGAAUGAGGCAUAAGGAUGCUUUUUUUCAGACGUCAUCAGUAAACACACAAUUGGUCAAAUGGGGCUACUAAAUGUAUCCUCGUACUCUCAACGAGUCAGAGAACCUCGUGGACUUCAAUCGAAGUGUCAAAUUGUAUCCAGAUAUGAUUUUCGCCGCGUCAAAGUUGACCUUCAAGAUGCUUCCUUAUGCCUAAUUUUGGCGUAGAUUUCGCACUGCAUGGGGGUUUCCAUGCUACCGAUAUCGCCACAUCCGGUCUACUUCCGGGUUUGCCUAACGUUACGCCACCAACGGUUGAGGUGUCAUCAAUCCCCAUUAAAGGUUUCAAUGGAAAUGAAGCAGUUGCAGUUUGUACGAAUCGACGCCCGAAUCAGAUGCUACCUUCUGUGCAAGACAAAUCGCCGGCUAAAUCGCUGGCUUCAAGCAAAUCGACGGCUGAAUCGACGCAAUGCUUGACUGUAUCAAUGGUCCAACUCAUAAAUCCACUUGCAAGUAUAAGUCUCAAACAGUGAACGUCAAGACACGGCUAACUGAACUGGGACAGUAGAUUUCAGGAUGCAACCCCGAAGACACUACUUUAGACAGAUACCACAAACCCCCAUGUGGUGCCCACUUCAAAUUUCUCGGCGUGGGGCCAUCCCAUUGAAAAACAAUGGGGCCGACACCUCAGCGAAAUGGUCAACUUUGAUGCGCCGGAUGCCGUCUUAGAAUACAUUUUGACAUCUUGAAUGAAGUCCACAAUGUUCUCUGACUUAUCAAGAGUACGAUGAUACAGUUAUUAUCCCCAUUUGACAAAUUGUUUAUUUUCUAUGAUUUUUUUGUGUAAAGCAUCCUUAUGCCUAAUUCUGGCUGUCGACA
This is a long non-coding RNA of Branchiostoma floridae (Florida lancelet), 877 nucleotides long. RefSeq lists it as uncharacterized. NCBI's taxonomy places the organism in Eukaryota, Metazoa, Chordata, Leptocardii, Amphioxiformes, Branchiostomatidae. The transcript is spliced from 2 exons. The record is from RefSeq and is a predicted model, not a curated record.